Molecule: long non-coding RNA, 2438 nt
Filed under: Mus musculus (house mouse)
Lineage: Eukaryota; Metazoa; Chordata; Mammalia; Rodentia; Muridae
Description: long non-coding RNA chr3:13692906-13695344
Source: RNAcentral
ACUUCAUUGACUUGUCGCUAAUUCACUUCUGAUGCCCAUUGAAUAGAAACUUACAGAGUAACUUUCCCAUCUCUAAUGUCUCAGUGUCUCUUCCAUUGGUGUAGUAAAGCAUUAUCAUGGGAGAAACUUAUGGAAGAAAGGGCUUAUCCAUGCUCAUGACUCAAUGGUAUAGUCGAUUCUAAGAGGGAAGGUUCAACAUCAAGAGAGUGAGGCAGUCGAUCAUUUCUUGCCAUAAUCAGAAGGCAGACCAUAAUGAAGUGCUGGUGUUGCUUGACUAUUCCUGCUCUUCACAUACACAGAUAAGAUUCCACUCACUAAUAAUAUAUGCAUUGUCUGUUCACCUAAAUUAAUUUAAUCAAGAUCACCACCUGACAGCAUGCCCAGUGCCCAGUCUCCCAAAUGAUUAUAGAUUGUGUAAAACUGUCAAAAUUUACUAACCUUUAUCGUAGGUGUGCCUUUUUGGUGGUCAUAAAGAUUUUCAGGAAAAACAAGGGCCACAUGUGUCAGUUAGCUUUCUUCUGCUGUACUGACUUGAGAAAAUAAAUUUAAAGGGAGAAAACUUUAUUUUUGUUUAGUAUUAGAGGUUUUCGUCUGUGGUGACUUGUUCCCUCAAGACCUUAGGAAUGUGGCAGCAACUUAAGUCAGACUAAAUCUAGUCACAUCAUAACAGAUAGGAAACAAUAAAAUAUCCCUGGACACUGUCUUAAAGACACGCCUACUUCAAGUAGGUCAUACCCCCUGGGUUUGUAUCACCUCCAAAUAGCCACAUAAAAUUAGAAAACUACUAAUUUAUUGGAAAACUACCAAGCAAAACUCAUGACCCAAUCAAUUUCCCCAAACCCAUUCCAAAGAGUUUUUGGACAAAACUUUCAACCUAAGUCCCCCAGUAUUUUAGAUGCAUACAAGAGUGAAUUCAUUCUAUUUCAUAAGCUCACCCUUGAAUACACACUCAGAAAACCGAUAUACAGCAAAAUCUUGAAAUGCCAUGGUAGCUGUUCAAUAUUAUUACUAUCAGUAUACCUCCUUAUCAGUAUACAAAUGUAAUAUCAUGGAAAUCAAAAAAUGUAAACAUAGUUCAAGUAAUUCUUUUUAAUAAUUUAUUUUUUGAUGGACAUUGAAGGUUACUUAGUAACCUUCUUAUCAUUUGGAAGUUUUCUAAAUUGUGAGGCUAUUAGGAAGGAAAACAAACUUAGGGGGUGUGACCUACUUGAAGGGAGUGUGUCCUUAAGCCAGGGUACAUGAGAUAUUCUGUUCUCUCAUCAUCACUAUCUCGUCUGUUAUCUUCUAUGGUUAACUACAUACUCACUGAGUGACAUAAAAUGAAUGCCACUGUCUCAGUGUCUUCAAUCAAAUUCAAGAAAGACUACAUUUUACUCACAAAUCAAAUUCACUCUAUUAAUAAUUUGUUCCCAUAAACCAAAAGACAUUCAUUUUUUCUUACUUGGAUAUAGUAAAAUUAUACUACUUAUAUCAUUUCCAUGAUCUGCUUUCGCAAACAUGUUUUAGGAACUAAUUUAACUCCUAUAAAAUACAGCUAUAAUUCCUUUAACAUAAUAGUCUAAAGAUGAAUUUAUCUUUACUUUUACAAGAAAAUAAAUUGUUUGAACAUAGUAGUCUUUUCCUGUAGGAUCAUAUUUUAAACCAGAGAUAAUAUGACCACUUGUAUCAAUAAAUAUAUUCUAAAUUUUAAAUAGUUUAAUCAAUCAUGUGUUUUUAUACUUUUUGAAUAGUGGUCAUAAAUUAGCUAUGCAACCCAAGGAAAUUGUACAUUUUACUAAUUAUGAAAAAACAAUGUAGUUCCAUAUUACUUAGUUUGUACAAGAAAACAGAAUUUAACUCCAGCACCUAAUAUAUUCUGAAUUUGGAAACACUGUUAUGUUAUGCAAAUAAUUAUUGGAUAUAGAAGGAAAAGGAAAAAUGAUCUCCAAAAGGGUAUUAAUUUAAAGAACUACAGGAUGUGUAUUGACAUUUUUCCCUUUCAAGACAUUUUCUACAAUGGUAAAUAGGUACACUGACAGCAAGGGUAUACAAUAGCUAAACUGACAUGUUUGGAAAUCUGUUGUACAUUUGAGACAGCUCUCUCUUUUUCUCUAUAAUUAUAUAUCUUUUUCUCUCUGUCUUUUUCUGUGUCUUUCUCUGUCUCUGUCUCUCUAUGUCUCUUUCUCUCUGUGUCUCUCUGUGUCUCUCUGUGUCUCUGUCUCUCUCUCUCUCUGCCUCUCUCUCUCUCUCUCUCUCUGUGUGUGUGUGUGUGUGUGUGUGUGUGUGUGUGUGAGUGGUAACUGUUAUUUUUUGAUGAAAGACUGUGACCUUUCAGGAAUUGGAAAGUGUAGUUAUAUUUCUCUCUUAUGACCUUGUGUUACAUAACCAGUUUCAAAUUCAGUUUCUUGAUGGGAAGUCAUCUUGGGGAUUUCAAUGCUGAAAAAAGUAGUGAUGAAAGU